AUUGAACGCUGGCGGCAUGCUUUACACAUGCAAGUCGAACGGUAACAGGCCGCAAGGUGCUGACGAGUGGCGAACGGGUGAGUAAUGCAUCGGAACGUGCCCAGUCGUGGGGGAUAACUACUCGAAAGAGUAGCUAAUACCGCAUACGAUCUAUGGAUGAAAGCGGGGGACCGUAAGGCCUCGCGCGAUUGGAUCGGCCGAUGUCAGAUUAGGUAGGUGGUGGGGUAAAGGCGCACCAAGCCAACGAUCUGUAGCUGGUCUGAGAGGACAACCAGCCACACUGGGACUGAGACACGGCCCAGACUCCUACGGGAGGAAGCAGUGGGGAAUUUUGGACAAUGGGCGCAAGCCUGAUCCAGCAAUGCCGCGUGCAGGAAGAAGGCCUUCGGGUUGUAAACUGCUUUUGUACGGAACGAAACGGCUCUGGUUAAUACCCGGGGCUAAUGACGGUACCGUAAGAAUAAGCACCGGCUAACUACGUG
This 482-nucleotide ribosomal RNA is filed under the name uncultured bacterium. RNAcentral's name for it is "partial 16S ribosomal RNA". It matches the Rfam family "Bacterial small subunit ribosomal RNA", at positions 30 to 507 of the family's 1533-position model. The record is from RNAcentral.